This 492-nucleotide ribosomal RNA is filed under the name uncultured bacterium. RNAcentral describes it as "partial 16S ribosomal RNA". It matches the Rfam family "Bacterial small subunit ribosomal RNA", at positions 29 to 507 of the family's 1533-position model. The record is from RNAcentral.
AGUGAACGCUGGCGGUAGGCCUAACACAUGCAAGUCGAACGGCAGCACAGUAAGAGCUUGCUCUUACGGGUGGCGAGUGGCGGACAGGUGAGGAAUACAUCGGAAUCUACUUUUUCGUGGGGGAUAACGUAGGGAAACUUACGCUAAUACCGCAUACGACCUCCGGGUGAAAGCAGGGGAUCUUCGGACCUUGCGCGAUUGAAUGAGCCGAUGUCGGAUUAGCUAGUUGGCGGGGUAAAGGCCCACCAAGGCGACGAUCCGUAGCUGGUCUGAGAGGAUGAUCAGCCACACUGGAACUGAGACACGGUCCAGACUCCUACGGGAGGCAGCAGUGGGGAAUAUUGGACAAUGGGCGCAAGCCUGAUCCAGCCAUACCGCGUGGGUGAAGAAGGCCUUCGGGUUGUAAAGCCCUUUUGUUGGGAAAGAAAAGCAGCAGGUUAAUACCCCGCUGUUCUGACGGUACCCAAAGAAUAAGCACCGGCUAACUUCGUG